UCAUCACGUGGGAUAAUCCUUAACUGUUCCUCCUUUUGGAGGGUAGAUAGAACAUGAUGAUUGGAAUUCGUAUGAAACGUGAUUAGUGUCUCUGCGUAACCAGGACUUAAAACACCCUGGUUGCUCCUAUCUGAU
RNAcentral lists this small nucleolar RNA (135 nucleotides) under Castor canadensis (American beaver). RNAcentral's name for it is "U8 small nucleolar RNA (ENSCCNG00000019114.1)". It matches the Rfam family "U8 small nucleolar RNA". From Rfam's summary of the family: U8 is a member of the C/D class of snoRNA which contain the C (UGAUGA) and D (CUGA) box motifs. U8 is the RNA component of a small complex (the U8 snoRNP) which is required for accumulation of mature large subunit ribosomal RNAs, 5.8S and 28S rRNAs. U8 RNA has been identified in human, mouse, rat and Xenopus. The record is from Rfam by way of RNAcentral. Lineage: Eukaryota; Metazoa; Chordata; Mammalia; Rodentia; Castoridae.